CAAACUCUUAAAGAGCAUAGAUUCAUCUCUACAGCAUACCAAUGACAUAAGAUAACCGAGCUAUCAUGUAUAAACAGGGUCUAGUACAGAACAAUUAAAGAAGAAGAAGAAGCAAAUGAAAGGAAAUUCAACAACUUGUAUUUAGUCAGGCUUCAACUCGAAAUACAUGUUCCUAAUCACUUGUUUGAGAAAUACCUGGUAACGAAAGGAAAUAAAAGGUGAGGGAUCAGAAGUAAUAGUAGCAGGCAAUCAACAGUAGUUUUCAACCAGUUUCAAACCCAGAAAGUGAAUAAAACAGCCCAGAAAAACAGUUUCAAUCCAAGUAAUGAACUAGAAAACUUGAACCAGAUUUGAUUUCAACUCGUUUAAACUAUCAACUAUCCAGAAAUUGUUUCAGUCCUAAGGAAACUUUAGAAAUCACCAGUAACUCAAUGAAACAGUUUUAUUCUUUAGAGUUCUCAAAAUGUUCUUUUAACUCUUUCAGUAUUUCUGGAGCUCCUUGUCUUUGAACUCAGUGUGUGUGUGUGUACUUUAUCUUUUUUUUGUUUCAGGGUAUCAGACUGCUGUGUAUAUGAACUCAAUGCCUAUCUCCCUCUCUCUCUCUCCUUGUUCUCCCCUUUUCUAUCUGUUUUAUAACCUCUAAAAUAGACAGCAAGUUAGUGCAUUUUCUAUUACAAAUCUCCUUUUCCUUUUUUAAUUAUCUCCACUCAAACACCCUUUUCUUUAUAUCAUUCAAAGUGUAAUUACAACCCCACCAUUAUAGAAACUUCUUAAAGUUACGUAAAAUUCUCUUUAUUGAACAAUUCUCCAAACCACCCUUUAAGUUCCUAAUAUCAUUUAACAUCCUCUUAAAGUUCUAGGUGUUUACAAAUUAAGGCAAACAAUUUUCUAACAAAAACAUAGAUAAACAGAAUCAAGAAGGUGUCAAUUUCCAAAACCUAAAUAGCCUUAUCAUGAACUGAAAUCAGAAAUCAAUCAACGACUGAGUAACUGAAACUGAUAUUUACGAAGAAACAAACAAUGAAUGCCCUAUUUCAAACUUUGAAGCAAUUACACCAAGUCAUCUAAUCAGGGAGUCAAACGAUACUAACAUGUUGGAUUUCAAUUAAACACAACAGACUUAAAUUGAAGACUGGAACCCUAUUGACCUAAUGAUAAUCCCGAACGAUUAACGAUUGAACACAGAAGCUAAUUAAACCUAAAACUAAGCAGAAUGGAUAAAUAAAAAAAUCAGAGCACAACCCCCUUUUUUAGAAAUUGAAAAGAAAACUAGAAAAAUAGAAAUAAAAACAAACUAACUUAAAGGGAAGAACUAGGUUUGAAAACUAAUUACAAUUUCAGUCGAAAGACAGACCAAUCAAAGAUACACAGAGAAGAAAAGAAGAAGGAGCGAAACAAACACUAAAAAUGAACAUAAAAAUUAAAGGAACUCACCGGCUAAACUUGAAUUUACCCUUGAUACUCUGACUCAACCCAAACUGAUGCUAAUAAUUUGUUCUUUGUCAAGAACAAAUGAACAACAUCGGUUUUGUAGUGAAUCGAUCUUCUAAUCACGAAAAACUAGAGGAUUGGAUCGAUGCAUGUCAUCAGGUUCAACGGAAACUGAUUUUGAACUUUUAAGGUUCGAACUUAGAUUUAAAAUUCGACGAGUUCCGGUCAGAUUCGAAGGAAACCAAUGAUGGAUUUGGUAUGAGGGAGUUAUGGGGGUUAUGUGGUGUUGAUUUGGGGUCGAUUGAGUAAGCUAGGGUUCGGGGAUUUUGGGACCGGACUGCUUCGAUUGAAGAUUCGAGAAGUACUAAGGUGAUUUGAGGGAAACCAAUUAUAGAUUAGGGAAGAUGGAGACAUGGGGAUUUCCUGGUGUUAAUUUGGUGGUGGUUUGAGGCGGCGGCACCACCGGAGAAGGUGGAGGAUUUGGGGGCGGCGCUAGGGUUAGGUGGGUAUCUCUGAAGGUGGGGGUGAA
This 1960-nucleotide long non-coding RNA is filed under the name Nicotiana tabacum (common tobacco). RNAcentral describes it as "long non-coding RNA (NTAB_LNC013477)". The record is from RNAcentral. Lineage: Eukaryota; Viridiplantae; Streptophyta; Magnoliopsida; Solanales; Solanaceae.